RNAcentral lists this ribosomal RNA (492 nucleotides) under Triticum aestivum (bread wheat). Its description in RNAcentral is "partial small subunit ribosomal RNA". Lineage: Eukaryota; Viridiplantae; Streptophyta; Magnoliopsida; Poales; Poaceae. The record is from RNAcentral.
AUGAAAUCCAAAAGCAAGUUAAGGACCCUAGAUGACUAUGAUUGGGUGAUAUCUGCAGAGAUACCCGACAAGAAGAAAUAUCCCUUUCUCCAUGAUCUUGUAGUCAAACACAUGUUGCACGGACCAUGUGGUGCGUUGAAUAAGAGUUGCCCUUGCAUGAUAGAUGGACAAUGUCGGUUUCAUUGCCCACGAGAUUUCUAUGAUGCCAAAUUACAAGGGAAAGAUUCAUAUCCGAUCUACAAAAGGAGGGACGAUGGGGUUCGAGUUAGGAUCAGAGGAGUAGAUUUGGACAACAGAUGGGUGGUCCCUUACAACCCCUUUCCGCUAAUGACAUACAACUGUCACAUUAAUGUUGAAGCAUGCUCGAGCAUCAAGGCAGUCAAGUACUUAUUCAAGUACAUCUACAAAGGGCAUGAUAGGGCAUCAUUUGCAUUCGAGCAAGAUAUUAUCAAUGAUGGGGGAAUCAUCAACGAAAUCCGACAGUAUAGCAUG